Molecule: ribosomal RNA, 581 nt
Filed under: Asteroidea sp. RCMBAR583
Lineage: Eukaryota; Metazoa; Echinodermata; Asteroidea
Description: partial 16S ribosomal RNA
Rfam family: Bacterial large subunit ribosomal RNA
Source: RNAcentral
CAAAUAAUGCGAACAUAUUAGGAGUCCUGCCUGCCCGGUGACUUAGUUAAACGGCCGCGGUAUCUUGACCGUGCAAAGGUAGCAUAAUCAUUUGCCUCUUAAAUGGGGGCUGGUAUGAAUGGCAAGACGGAAAUUAAGCUGUCUCUCCCUUGGUUUCCCUAAUUUAAUUUUUCCGUGAAGAAGCGGAAAUUUAGUCGUGGGACGAGAAGACCCUGUCGAGCUUUAGUGGUUAUUUUCUAGGCAGAGUAAAGGCCGUUUGCUGCUAAUUAACUUAUAAAAGGAAUUUGUUUUACGAGGCGAAGGACCUUGUCUUGGGAAGUACGCUUUGGUUGGGGCAACCGCGGAGUAUAGAAAUCCUCCGUUAAGUUAACUAAAUGAAGUUAUAUCUUUUUUGUGGGCUUACUAUCGGAUUGAUCCGCCUGUAUGGGGGCGAACAAAUGAACAAGUUACCGCAGGGAUAACAGCGUAAUUCCCUUGGAGAGUUCGUAUUGGUAAGGGAGUUUGCGACCUCGAUGUUGGAUCGGGAUUUCCUGGGGGUGAAGCAGCUCCUAAGGGUUGGUCUGUUCGACCAUUAAAAUCUU